RNAcentral lists this long non-coding RNA (576 nucleotides) under Pan troglodytes (chimpanzee). RNAcentral describes it as "long non-coding RNA NONPTRT016595". Lineage: Eukaryota; Metazoa; Chordata; Mammalia; Primates; Hominidae. The record is from RNAcentral.
UUGGCUGGAUUUAGGGAUGGAAGAGUAUGUGAAUUUGACUUACGUUGGGGCCUCAGAGAAUGGGGGCUUGCGGGGAAGAGGAGGUAAAGAUUCAAGAAUAAAGAUGAAACUCUGUACUCAACACAGUAUGUGGAAGGGUUGGAGAGGAACCAGCCUGGGAGCAGGAGGAGUUCCAGGUGGGAUAGGAAAGAAAGAUUUGUCAGUGGGCACACAGAAGAUGGGUGUGAGGAAUUUGGAUUUGUUUCAUGAAAUGAGGAGUCACUUGGAUAGUUUUUAAUGGAGUGAUAUGACAAACAGUGCUUUGUGUGAUCUACUACAAAGAAAAAAGCAAUAAAUAAAUGAGCUGGACACGGUGGUGUGCACCCGUGGUCCCAGCUAUUUGAGAGGCUGAGGCAGAAGAAUCACUCGAGCCCAGGAGUUGACUGUUACAGUGAGCUAUGAUCAUGCCACUGCACUCCAGCCUGGGUGACAGAGUGAUACUCUGUCUCUUGGAAAAGAUUAACCCCCAAAAGAAGGGUGGUGGGCAUCUUGUAAUGGGGCAUUUUCCAAGAAGAUGUAAAUCUCAACCAUGAUUGU